UUGUUCAAAGUUCUUUGACUGGAAUCUUUGAAGAACUGAUUUUACAAAACCCUAUAAUGUAUGCUGCUAGCUGCUUAUA
Molecule: long non-coding RNA, 79 nt
Organism: Aricia agestis (brown argus)
Lineage: Eukaryota; Metazoa; Arthropoda; Insecta; Lepidoptera; Lycaenidae
Exons: 3
Source: RefSeq, a predicted model, not a curated record